Long non-coding RNA from Copidosoma floridanum, 1253 nucleotides. RefSeq lists it as uncharacterized. The record is from RefSeq and is a predicted model, not a curated record. Lineage: Eukaryota; Metazoa; Arthropoda; Insecta; Hymenoptera; Encyrtidae.
GCACGCAACCCUCGUACUCGUACCACAGCAGAGCUCCUCCUCCUCCUCCUCCACCACCACCAUCGAGUCUAUCAUCUCUUCUCCCGUCCUCUUAUAUACAUGUACCCUCGGAGUGAAUAAUAUAGACGGCAAAUUCGCGGCCCGACCUCGACCCCCUCCCCCUUACAUUUUACACGUACACGUGCACCCGUCCUCCCCCUGCAGGGUGUAUCAAAUAUAUAUAUAUAUAAAUAUAUGUAAAACAUACAUAGAUAUUAUGGGUAAGUCAUCAGCUGUGCCGCUGUUACACGCAGCUCUUCUCCUAGGAGAUUGACGUCACGGGGCUGGUGAUGCAGCUGGCGAGGAGAGGCCGCCGAUUGAUACAACCUGCACCGCCACAAUAGUGCAUCAAGUACAUCAUACGUGUACAUAAUAUACAUAUACUUACUUCGCGAGCGCUGAAAUAUAUAUUUUUAUUAUUGGCGUCUCAGCUGAUGGUGCGAGUCUUUUGUUGUCUCGGUGCUGCUCUACUCAAGUAUAUAUAAUAUCUGCUUUGUUGUGACGACUGCGGCGACCUUAUCAUAUAUAGCCAGCCUCUCUCAUCGUGGGUGCAAACAUUUUAGCGCAGCUGUCCGGGAAGAUGAACCAAGAAUCGCGCCUCCACCCGUUGAACAAUGCCGAUGCACUCGCCCCAGUGGGACAACUGCAGCUUCCAACGUGCGGGGGGGAUGAAUUGUCCGGGAGAACGAUGCUUUGAAUAAGUGGGAACGGUUUAUACACAGACAACGGGCAAUAGCGUCAUCGGAGGGCAUGAUGACGAGUCCGCGGUGCCGGGCGUCCUCGUCUCAGCGGCGGGCAAACAGGUCGAGUAGUGCCCUGCACCCUCGUCACCUCGCGUCAUCGCGCGCGAGGUAGUAUAGCGAUGCUGCAGCAGCCAUUGUGCACCAUCACCCCGCGUCGUCGUAACAAAGUCCACUGUUCUCUGGGCGGAUGAGCCGCGCUUGCAGGGAGGAGGACGGCCGAUAAGCUGCUUCGCCACGGAGGAGGGGGUGUAUAUAUUUCGUUAUAGGGAUCAUCAGCGUUCAUCAUUUAUCCGAGCGUGUCGGUCAUUCUCGGGGCACGCAGGCAAGCCGCCAGCAGCGCGUCGGGAAACAACAACAACAACAACAACAACAAUUACAACCACAACAACAACAAUUGGCUUCAUCUCAAUACCAGCCAAGGUACGUUUAUGUAUGUGGCAUCUUUUUUUUAUGUAACGGGUAGCCGCACGA